GUUCUCCGUAUCGACGAUAGAUCCAUAAGGAAGGUCGUCCCGUGGCCUUUGAAGAUCCUUGUGAUCGUUGUAGUUAUAAUCAUCAUUGUUAUCUCCGCUGUUGCCGUUAUAAUAAAUACUCUCAAACCCUUGUCUUUGUUCUUGCCCUAGCUUAACGUUGUUCUUGGUUUCUAGUGGAUCUCGAUCUUCUUCUUGUUGAAAGUAUAAGUCGUGAAACUGAUAAUCUUUGUAAGAUAUGUAGGAGAAUGGAUCUUGUGGGUAAACAACAGCCUCUAAGGCCAUAAUUAGCUACAAAUUUUGAAAGGGGUCGGAGCAAGAGAGAGAGAGGAAGAAAAGAAAGACAGAAAGUGUUUGUCUUUCUCUUUUUUGUCUCGUGAGGGAGACAAGGCAAAAGCAAAAUUGAAGAAGAAAGGAAAGAGAGAAAAGAUACAAGAAGGUCAAACAAAGUUGUGGUUUGGAUCGAUGGAAGAGAGAAGAAGCUUGUGAGGUUUAUAAAGCUGACAUAUAUAUAUUUAAAAAAGAACAGAAUAAGUCUCAAAGAAAAUCCAAACCAGUUGAGUUAUGAAAAGUAUAAGAUAUAGAGAGAGGUGUUAUAUGGUUUGUUUUGCACGUGAGAUUAUAGACCGGUCUAAAAACCAAAGAAAAGAUUCUGCGUGUUUUUGCAGGCUUUGGGUUUCGUCUAGUUACACUCAUGUUCCAGGAGAGAGAACUAUAACAAGUUGCAGUCUCAAACUUUAUACGUUGCUAUGAAUUAAUGUUUUUUGCCGUA
This is a long non-coding RNA of Brassica napus (rape), 769 nucleotides long. RefSeq lists it as uncharacterized. The record is from RefSeq and is a predicted model, not a curated record. The transcript has 2 exons. NCBI's taxonomy places the organism in Eukaryota, Viridiplantae, Streptophyta, Magnoliopsida, Brassicales, Brassicaceae.